GACAUAUUUAACGUUACAACAAAAUUGAAACAAUACAAAGAAGAUUGACAUGACCCAUGCGCAAGGGGAUGACACGCGCACAAAUCGAGAAAUGGUCCAAAUUUUU
Small nuclear RNA from Cucurbita moschata (crookneck pumpkin), 106 nucleotides. NCBI's taxonomy places the organism in Eukaryota, Viridiplantae, Streptophyta, Magnoliopsida, Cucurbitales, Cucurbitaceae. The record is from RefSeq and is a predicted model, not a curated record.